GUCACGGAGCAGUGAGGGAAGGUGAGCGUGUUGUCAGCUUAGUGGUCCCUUAUCCGAAGGGAAGACAUUCAGGUGUUUCCCUCUGAGGGUCUGAGUAUUCCCAGGUGGCAUGGGUGAUGCUGGCUGUUCCUUUCGAGCUUGGAUCUAACUUCCAGGCUGAAACGCAGUGUGCAGUACAGGACAUCAAGACCCGAGCUAUCUCUGGAGUGACUCUGUUUCUCUUUUAGAGGUGCUAUAGGUGGCUUCAGAGAACGGGUGGAAGCAUCUGCCAUGUGGGGUGCCACAGGCAAGGUGGGCUGUGAUAGUCUUCAGAACAGGAGCAAAGCAGGUCACUUGAAUGCUGUUUGGUUCCUGAGACAGGUGUUGUAGAGGAGAAAAGCUUUAAAUAUUCAAAGCUGAAGCAAAAAUAAAUA
Molecule: long non-coding RNA, 413 nt
Organism: Cygnus atratus (black swan)
Lineage: Eukaryota; Metazoa; Chordata; Aves; Anseriformes; Anatidae
Exons: 5
Source: RefSeq, a predicted model, not a curated record